RNAcentral lists this ribosomal RNA (101 nucleotides) under Tursiops truncatus (common bottlenose dolphin). Lineage: Eukaryota; Metazoa; Chordata; Mammalia; Artiodactyla; Delphinidae. The record is from RNAcentral.
GCUUUUAUUUAAGAGAACUCUAAUCUUGGAAGCUAAGCAGGGUUGGUCCUGAUUAGUAACUUGGAUGGGAGGCCGCCUGGGAAUACUGGGUGCUGAAGGCU